Molecule: long non-coding RNA, 3163 nt
Filed under: Nicotiana tabacum (common tobacco)
Lineage: Eukaryota; Viridiplantae; Streptophyta; Magnoliopsida; Solanales; Solanaceae
Description: long non-coding RNA (NTAB_LNC004997)
Source: RNAcentral
GCAAUUUCCAUCCAGAAAAUGACAUGAUUCUUGCAAAUACCACCUCCAUUGGCAUGCAACCAAAGGUUGAUGAUACACCAAUCUCUAAGGUUUGCCUCCUUGCAUUAGUUUUCUUAGAUUAAACAACUUGUUACUGAAUCCGUGUCUUAUUAGUUGAAGAGCUGCAUGGUUAAUAUCAUGCACAGUAAAUGGGUAAACAAAGAGGGUUCAGUAUUAAAAAUACAAGCUUUAUAAAUUAGAAUGGGACGGAGUAUUUUAAUUUCAUUUUGUUUGGGGGGGUCGGUGAGAUCCCUUUUUUUCUUGGAAACUUUUUACCUCAAUUAGCUCAUACCCAGCAUUCGUGAAUUGCUUCUCUGUAUUUUUCUGUUUUCUCAGAGGGCUCAAUAUUGGAAAUACAUGCUUUACCAAUUUGAAUGGGAGCGGAGCUUUUGUUUUUUCUUUUGCUUGGAAAAACAUUUUUCCGUCUAUUACCUUCAUAUCCAGCAUUCAACAAUUACUUCUCUACAUUACACUGUUUUAAUAUAGGAUAAAGAUCUAACCAUAAACCUGAAGUAUCUUUGUAACGAAUUCUAUGUUCGGUAACUAUAUUUAUUGCUCAUCUCUUUCUCACAAAAGUAGCAAAAGAUAUAUGGGUUGUUCUUUGGUUUUGAUCAUAAAGAAAUUAUGAAGUUUGGGGAAAGUGUAUAUAUGUUCCGGACCAUAAUGUGUAUGUAAUCCUAAUUCCUAUAUAGAUAGAUAUCAACCUUCUUUAAGUUAAAGAACCCAAUUGUAGGGCCUUUCAUAACCUUACAAACCUGUCUAGUCAACAGAUGACGUCUCUAAAUAUAUACCUUUAUUGGCCUUAUGGAAAAGGGUCAAAACUACCUCUAUCAUUUGUAAAUGGUUUAAAAUUACCCUCCGUCCGCCUUUUGGUCCAUAAACACACAUAACGUUAUCUUUGGGCUUAAAUUUACCCCUCCCGCUAAUGGCACAAUAUCGAAAACACAGCCAACGCAUUAAAAAUGGAGCCCACAUAUUUUGCCGUUAGUGGGAGGGUAAAUUUAAGCCCAAAGAUAACAUUGUGUGUGUUUAUGGACCAAAAGGUGGACGGAAGGUAAUUUUAAACCGUUUACCAAAUGAUAGGGGUAGUUUUGACCAUAUUCUGUUGUCCUUAUGAAAAAUUAUAUACCUUGUUGUCAUGGCUCACAAUCUCAAACUUCCUCCUCUAUUCUUUGGUGCUUCGAGGAAUGGCAUGCCAUGAGUGGUUUAAACGGAAGUUCUAGGCUAUGUAAGGAGUAUUUUGGUGAUUUGUUCCAUUGGAAGAAUAACGGGAUAAAACAGAUAAGACCUGUUCUGUCAGAAAAGGAAGUGGUUGUAAGAAACCACUUCAAGAUCAUGGUCUGCUGCUUUCAAUCUGAACUUUACUCGGUGUUAAGUGCUUCUAAUGCUGCUACUGUUGAGAUAGGGUGUUGUUGACGGGUUUGAUAUAAGAUGUGGGCUGAUAACUGGCAUUUCAGAUGCAGCAAAUAAUUUUAUGCUUUAUUUCUACAAGGCAGACAAAAUGCAUGCUUAAGUUUGACAUUUCUGUGGGUCAGAAAGAACUAACUUCGGUCCUGAGGAAGCUGGAUGCACUAUUUUCAGCAGAAUAGCCCAUGAAAUGGAUAGAACAUAUAGCGGGGGCAGAGCAUUUGUGGCUAAAAGAAUAAAUCUCCAUGUUGCUAGGUCUUUGCAGCCAAUAACAUAAAGACUAGUAUGCUGUUAGGCUGUUAGCCAAUCUUCUUAACCAAUACAUGCACGCACACAAACACGCAUUGUCGUCCAAUCUUGAUUCACAAGAAACUCUUGUCCAACUCCUUACAUCUUCUACUUGUGGAUAGUAAAACGUAACUCUGGGCAUGAAAUUAGCUGCCCGCUAGCCACUCAGGUUAUAUAGGUUUUGUAUAUAACUGCAAUUUAUGAUUUUGAAAAGUGAAGCGGAUCACAUGAGAAACUAUUAUUGGUGUCUAUUUAAAAAUGAGCAAGAUAUCUUUCUGGAAACUUGAACUUACCAUCGACAGCUAUAAGGAGGAUAAUGUUAAACAGACGUGUACCACAUUCUUGGGCAUCUCAAUGCCAAUUAGCUUCCCAUGAGAUAUUCUUCAAUGCUGUUCUUGGUUUUACUUAAUUUGUCUUCAGCAAUGAACUUCAAAAUGUGCCUUCUCUUUGCUAAUGGAACUUUUCAGCACAUUCUAUACUGGGGUGUCCGAUUUCUUUAUGUGACCUCGUGUAGGUUUAAUGUCAAUUUACAUCACUAUUUCCUGAAACCGGUUCCUGUCAUCUAAGAUUCUUCUUAUUAUUCAAAUAGACGUAUAUUUUUUGCUUCAUGCUCCUACAUGCUAUUUACUGAUAAAACGUUGUUUAAAUUUCUAUGAACUGCUUCCAAAUUACAGGAAGCUUUGAGGUACUACUCACUUGUAUUUGAUGCUGUUUAUACGCCCAAAAUCACUAGACUCUUGCGCGAAGCUCAAGAGAGUGGAGUAAAAAUUGUAACCGGAGUUGAAAUGUUUAUCGGGCAGGCAUAUGAACAAUAUGAGAGAUUUACAGGGUUGCCAGGUAAUUUUUAUGAUAAGUUCAUUCCUCAACUUGUGUGGUCAUGGCAUAACAUUGGCACUGAUUAUCCUUUUCUUGUGGUGAUUCAUGUCUUGAAACUCCAGCUCCAAAGGAACUUUUCAAGAAAAUUAUGGCUGGAUAUUGAGAGCAAGCCCUUUACAACGCAGCCUGCUAAUUACUUUUCCUCUUAAAUUCUACAUAGUUGUGUGAUAGCAAUGGUCUUAGAUUCCUCUGUCCUACCAUAUGUGCUUCGGAAGAAUUAAUUCGUUCCAGGUAAAUCGUGUUUUCCACCAAAACAAAUUCUUGAGGAUGUUCAGAAAAAGCAGUCAGACAUACCAGUGGACAAUCGUCAUCAUUCUGGCUUAUAUUAGACUCUUGUAGCACUUCAUUCUUUGACAACUAUGGUUCUUUGGGAAGUAAUUUCUUUUGUACCUCUAAUUCUGGUUUCAUUGAACACAUAUUCCAGUGUUUCAUCAUUGUAACCCCAUACUGGGAAUUCCUCUUGAUUAUCAUUAUUAUUAAAUCUUGUCACAUUAUUGUAUCACACCAAAACAGUUUUUUUACUUGAGUUCAUUGUCUUGGGAAUACAACAUUG